Molecule: RNA transcript, 2949 nt
Organism: Sycon ciliatum
Lineage: Eukaryota; Metazoa; Porifera; Calcarea; Leucosolenida; Sycettidae
Exons: 3
Source: RefSeq, a predicted model, not a curated record
UUAUUUACAUCCGUUGUUGUUCCUGGUCUCGCUGUCUUGUCUUGUCCGGUGUCAAAUAUGGUCUGCUGUCUGUACGGGAGUGAUGCGGGGUGUGCAGUAUAUGGGUGUGAUGUGUAUGACGUGGUGUAUGUAGUAUAUGCGUUGUCAGAGAGUGUGGAUCUGCUUCUGCCUGAGUGAGUGCGUUUGUCUAACUAGUUGUCGCGCAUGCGUGGAUUAUGUGGAGCAUGCGCUGUGCGAGUCGAGUUCGGGUGUGAGGGAGUGGUGUGAUUCGUCCACGAUGUUGUUGUCUUGGUUCUAGUCACAUGUAUCGUACGUACUGGUCGCUCAUUGGUCGUUUCGAUGUGUUCGCCGUUUCUCUGUUUAUUACUGUUGGUUGUUUAUUAUUUCGUUGUCUUUUUCCCCCGCUCGCUUCGCCAUCAGUUCUGGUUUUGAUAAAGUAUUCUUGGAGCCGACAAAUGAGUCAACGAACCGUUGUGUGGUGUGAAGGUAAAGGGGUGGGGAGAAAUUCCGUAACAGUGGCGCCCGACGUGGACUCGAGUUCCACAACUUACUACGAGCGACCUACCAAAGGGACGGAACUACUCCUCUCGGGUCCCGCUCGACCGUGCACCGGAGUAUACGGCCCUGCCUCCUUCCAACGAGCCCGAUCCAACCGCCACCGUAACGACGGCUGGGGUUUGCCCGGUCAGCACGGCCAUGUAUUGCUCCGGGCUCGAGCAUUCCGGGACCCAGCCAGCAUGAUCUACAGCAUCACCGGACAGGAAGGGACCAGAUACCGAGAAGACUACAACUACAAGCAAACACCGAACCACCGGACCACCAUGACACCUCUCAUUGAGGUCAUGGUCGAGGACGACCUACACAUUUUAUAAACCCUAAUUCAUAAUUCACAAUAGUAAUCCCUAUUCUUUGUAAGGAGUCGUGGUCGACUCCUCCCGUUAGGGGAGGCUGUGUUACGAAAUUCGAUUCGCUUAUUAUUUACAUCCGUUGUUGUUCCUGGUCUCGCUGUCUUGUCUUGUCCGGUGUCAAAUAUGGUCUGCUGUCUGUACGGGAGUGAUGCGGGGUGUGCAGUAUAUGGGUGUGAUGUGUAUGACGUGGUGUAUGUAGUAUAUGCGUUGUCAGAGAGUGUGGAUCUGCUUCUGCCUGAGUGAGUGCGUUUGUCUAACUAGUUGUCGCGCAUGCGUGGAUUAUGUGGAGCAUGCGCUGUGCGAGUCGAGUUCGGGUGUGAGGGAGUGGUGUGAUUCGUCCACGAUGUUGUUGUCUUGGUUCUAGUCACAUGUAUCGUACGUACUGGUCGCUCAUUGGUCGUUUCGAUGUGUUCGCCGUUUCUCUGUUUAUUACUGUUGGUUGUUUAUUAUUUCGUUGUCUUUUUCCCCCGCUCGCUUCGCCAUCAGUUCUGGUUUUGAUAAAGUAUUCUUGGAGCCGACAAAUGAGUCAACGAACCGUUGUGUGGUGUGAAGGUAAAGGGGUGGGGAGAAAUUCCGUAACACUAGGACCCAUACACCAGAGAUAUCCCCUCGGAAUCUGCGCCGGCAUCAUCACUGCAGUUUGCGGAUGACAUCGCCCUGACAUGUGCAAGACGGACAGCGCAAGAGGUGUCUGAUGCGCUCAGCUUGGCGGUUACCUCCCUCUCAAGUUGGCUGGACACUCGUGGUCUUGUAUUAAAUGCAAAGAAGAGUAAUGUAUUGGUUUUUACCAGCAGCAGUGGGCAGCAGCCGGACGUGGGUGUACGCUGUCGAAAUGAUGUGCUUCCGCACACCACCAGCGCGAAAUACCUCGGCGUCUUAAUCGAUGAACGAAUGACCUGGCAACCGCAAGUUGACCGGUGCAUCUCACGCACUGCUAGGAAGAUCGGUAGUCUGUGGCGGGCGCGACGCUGCCUCACUCUAGCUAGUCGAAGCAAGUACUUCCUAUCUGUCAUCAUGCCGGAUUUGAUAUAUGGAUCUUCAGCAUAUGGCUCCGGCUUGACCCACAACCAGCUAAACCGCUUGCAGGUGGCCCAAAACCGCGCAGCAAGGGCGGUGUUCGGACGACCACGAUUUACCAGGGCCAGUGAUCUCUUGGAGAGGCUCUCUGUUUAUCGCAUGGACGAGGUAUAUCGCCAGAAACUGCUCGUGCUGGUAUGGCGGUGCGUUCAUAACCGUGCCAGUCCUGCUCUGCAGGCACUGUUUGUUCGCAACUGCGGAGCAACUCGCCUUCAGCACAGUCUGGGCCUACAACAACCAAUAGCCAGAAGCCGAGCAGGCCAAUGUAGACCGGCAUCUCGCGGUUGCCUGUUAUGGAACCAUAUACCUGACACGGUGCGAGCUAUGGGCAAAAUCCCAGCAUUCCGCCAAGCUGCCAUUCCCUACACGUAAGUCGUUGUAGACUGCUACACAGUUGGCCAUACCAUGGUAUUCAGUACCCACGAACUUUGCAAAGCCGAUAAUGUGAUAAUGUACCGUGGUGCAUGCACCGGUGGUGCCACCACUUCGUAGACUGCCUCCCGUUCAUUUCUGUGCUCCUGUCUUUAUUCUCGUCAGCUGUGUACUUCAGCAGUUCAAUUCUGUGCUCCAGUCCUCUUUAUUCUCGUGAGUUGUGUACUCGUUUUGCUGUUUGUCUGGUUUAUUUGAAUUCGCACAGUAAAUGUGUACUUCAGUUAUUCUCUCCUCCCUCUUCUGAGUUUGACUCUCCGCUGGCCUUCUCUCCUCCCAUCCCCUUACAUCGUAUUGGGCCUCCGCACACACUACAUUGUCACAUAGCACAACUCAACCAUUCGCUACCCUGUUAUUGAGCACUCCUGCUCGUUUGGUCUCGCAAAUCCAAAUAAAAUCAAUCAAUCAAUCAGGUUCCUACCUGUGGAUGCAGCUGGGGACGCUGGUCCGCAGGCCAUGGUCGUUGAUGAACUCCCAUGUUGGAUAUCCGAUGGAAGUAACUAUGUGUACUAGCAAAGUUACACUGCCACUGAUA